RNAcentral lists this ribosomal RNA (410 nucleotides) under uncultured bacterium. Its description in RNAcentral is "bacterial SSU rRNA". It matches the Rfam family "Bacterial small subunit ribosomal RNA", at positions 370 to 772 of the family's 1533-position model. The record is from RNAcentral.
AAUGGGGGCAACCCUGAUCCAGCCAUUCCGCGUGAGUGAAGAAGGCCUUCGGGUUGUAAAGCUCUUUCAGCAGGAACGAAACGGUGGCCACUAAUACUGGCUACUAAUGACGGUACCUGAAGAAGAAGCACCGGCUAACUACGUGCCAGCAGCCGCGGUAAUACGUAGGGUGCGAGCGUUAAUCGGAAUUACUGGGCGUAAAGCGUGCGCAGGCGGUUCCAUAAGACAGAUGUGAAAUCCCCGGGCUUAACCUGGGAACUGCGUUUGUGACUGUGGGACUCGAGUGUGGCAGAGGGGGGUGGAAUUCCACGUGUAGCAGUGAAAUGCGUAGAGAUGUGGAGGAACACCGAUGGCGAAGGCAGCCCCCUGGGUCAACACUGACGCUCAUGCACGAAAGCGUGGGGAGCAAA